Non-coding RNA from Doryrhamphus excisus (bluestripe pipefish), 1128 nucleotides. Lineage: Eukaryota; Metazoa; Chordata; Actinopteri; Syngnathiformes; Syngnathidae. The record is from RefSeq and is a predicted model, not a curated record.
GUUUUGUAACGAUUCGUAUUUUCAUGUCAUCAAAAAAUCAUAUUCCUUGAAUACAUUUUAAACUAUUUAUACUAAUACUAAUUAUACUAAUGUUUUGGCUCUAUAAACACACUGUUGCUAGGCACGGUGUGCUAAUGUAAAAAGUACCUAACUGUCAUGAUUCAUGAUUCAACUUAAAUGUCAGCUUUAAAAUAAAAAUAACAAUAACUCAGCUUAAAUAUCUUACAUAUUGUUUGCGAUUAUGUGCUACAUUGUUUAAUUUUUGAAAGCGAACAGUGAAUUGGCAAAAAUGACAUAAUCGGGGUACUAUCAGUGACGGAGCUACUUUAGCGGUAGCCAGCGGUGGGCGUGGCCACCAUCGGUCCGUAUCCGGCCGUCUUACUGGCCAUCCAGACAACACAGAUAUCAACUUAUUGCCACCUCUACGUGUAUCACUUCUCAAGGAGUUCAAGACAACAAUGAAAGAGGAGUUCAAGACAACAAUGGAUGAGGCAAAUGCAGCAAGUGAGAGACAGAUGGACGCCCACCUCGAGUUCUGUCCUUUGCAGUGAUCAUUUCACUGAUGGCUGCUUUGAAUGAACACUUUGAAAUGUUCAUUUCCAUGUCUUAAAGCGGAAAUCCGCGUUCUUCAAGUUCUCUAUUUCAACUCAAACUCAAAAUCGCUGAAAUCUUCGCUAUAGUCACUGUAAACAUUGUCUCUCGUACACCAUAUGUACGCCAUGUUUGUUUACAAAUUUACCAUUCACUUUCCAAAAUACCAAUACAUAAACAACACAUAACACAUUUAAAGCAACAGUGACGGUGGUGUAAAGUGGUGGCACAUGUAAUGAUUGACAUGAGCAAUUUAACAGUCAUUAUGCGUGUAAUGAUUGACAAGUAAACCCACCAACAACCUGUGGGAAUUUGGAAUGGGCCUGCUAUCACUUGCUAACUAACCCCUGACCCAAAUCCUCUUGUGCUGCUGGAAUACUGCACUGAUGUUGUGCUGAUGUUCUUGGGCGUGGUUACUGCUGAGAGUACUUAUUUAUCUGCAAACAUGAGCAACCUGGUGUUUGUGUAGAUGCUACACUGGUGUCAAAAGUGGGAUGGUGGUGCAGCCAGGUAAAUGCGGCCUCCACAGGGACAGCU